GAUGAACGCUGGCGGCGUGCCUAAUACAUGCAAGUCGAGCGAACAGACGAGGGUCUUGCUCCUCUUACGUUAGCGGCGGACGGGUGAGUAACACGUGGAUAACCUACCUAUAAGACUGGGAUAACUUCGGGAAACCGGAGCUAAUACCGUAUAAUAUAUUGAACCGCAUGGUUCAAUAGUGAAAGACGGUUUUGCUGUCACUUAUAGAUGGAUCCGCGCCGCAUUAGCUAGUUGUUAAGGUAACGGCUUACCAAGGCAACGAUGCGUAGCCGACCUGAGAGGGUGAUCGGCCACACUGGAACUGAGAAACGGUACAGACUCCUACGGGAGGCAGCAGUAGGGAAUCUUCCGAAAUGGGCGAAAGCCUGACGGAGCAACGCCGCGUGAGUGAUGAAGGUCUUCGGAUCGUAAAACUCUGUUAUUAGGGAAGAACAAAUGUGUAAGUAACUAUGCACGUCUGGACGGUACCUAAUCAGAAAGCCACGGCUAACUACGU
This 496-nucleotide ribosomal RNA is filed under the name uncultured bacterium. RNAcentral's name for it is "partial 16S ribosomal RNA". It matches the Rfam family "Bacterial small subunit ribosomal RNA", at positions 28 to 506 of the family's 1533-position model. The record is from RNAcentral.